CAUCACUCCUUCAGCCUCUAAUAGCAGCCGUUCUGAUACCUGCAUCAGCGCAUCUCUACUACUUACUGCAUGCACCAUCGCGUCUGACUACUAGCAGCUACUUUGAGAACUCUCCCUCACAUCGCUCACAGUGCAAUCUUUAUCAUCAGGAUCUUCCUAUUUCCCACUGCUAAUACAGAACUGCAUGAGAGAGAUAAGCCACGCCCCCUCAUCUCCCCCUCCAGGUGGUCACAGGUGUGCAUGAGAGCAAGAAGCUCCUACACAGCUCCUCAUCUCCCCUCCCCCUGCUUUGUCUUGUGAGGACGCAGGUCUGCAUUGAAAGAAGACAGAGAAGAUGUAUGUGAAGGGGAGGUUAACAAGGUGCAUGGGCUGGGGAUGUAGGGGGAGAUUUAUCAAAACCUAUGCAGAGGAAAACUUGCACAGUUGCCCAUAGCAACCAGUCAGAGCGCUUCUUUCAUUUUUAGGAAGGCCUGUGAAAAAUUAAACAAGUGAUCUGAUUGAUUGCUAUGGGCAACUGGACCCUCUGCACAGGUUUUGAUGAAUCUCUCCCGUAUAGACUGCAGGGGAAUAAAUCUCGGACUGGGGUUGAUUUCUG
Long non-coding RNA from Hyla sarda, 595 nucleotides. RefSeq lists it as uncharacterized. Lineage: Eukaryota; Metazoa; Chordata; Amphibia; Anura; Hylidae. The record is from RefSeq and is a predicted model, not a curated record. The transcript is spliced from 3 exons.